AGUCCCUGCUGGAUCUAGCAGUCUUCCAGAUGCUCUGGGGUGACUUCACCGGGCUGCCUUUGGCACGAACCCUGCUGUGUGGUGUUGCCUUUAGAACUUACCAGACUGUCUUCUGUGUUGAUUUGCCCAUCAGCCUGAUCACACGAGGCUCAGUCUUUCUGAGGUCUCAAGAAAUGUGUGAAUUACGAGCCCUGAGCCACCGUGGAUGAAAUCCAGGCUACUCCAGUGAGAGAGCACUGAGACGCCACCUUGGACGUCCCAUCCAAGUCAAGGUAGCAUGGGCCCUGGUUUUCAUCAGUCUGCAACUGGAUGAGAGACCCCAAGUGAGAACCGCUCAGCUGAGCCUCGUCAACCCACAGAACUAAGACACCAUGCCGUUGGCUUUGAGGAUGGAGGGUGUGCCGUGAGCCAAGCUGGUCUGUAGAGGCUGGAAAAGGCAAGGGAACGGAUUCCCCCCGAGAGCCUCUAGAAGGAAUGCAGAUCUGCCAACACCUGGACUUGAGCUCCUUAAGACCCACCCAUUUUUUGGACUUCCGACAUCCAGAAGUAUAAGAUCAUAACUCUGUUGUUUUAAGCCACUAAAUCUGUGCUAAUCUGUUAGAGCAGCCACAGGAAGCUACCAUAUCGCGCCCUGAGCAUCUUACGCACAGAAUCUUUUGGAAUUCUCCCAACAACCCUAUGAGGCAGGUCUUACUACCACUUUAGAAUUGAGGAAGCUGGCACUCAGCGGGGUGAAGGGACUUCCUCAGGCCACACAGCUAUUAAAUGGCAGAGCCGGGGACAUAUGCUGACCUUGCCAUUUAUGGUUAUGCUCACAAAUACCACGAGUCUACGAUUUAUAUUUCUUUUAGUUGUUCCAGUGCCAACACUGAGAAAGUCCCCAUGAGCCAUAAUACGAAAACUGCAGUUUUGAAAUUGCAAGGGUCAUUGACUCAUUCGUCUUUAUUGUUAUCGGCACCGAAGUAUCUCAUUUGAAAAGAUGAACUUCGGGGCACCUGGGCGGCUCAGUCGCUUGGGCAUCCGACUUCGGCUCAGGUCAUGAUCUCGCGGUUUGUGGAUGCGUGCCCCACAUCGGAUUCUGCGUCUCCCUCUCUCUCUCUGUCCCUCCUCCACUCGUGCUCUGCCUCUCUGUCUCAAAAAUAAACACUAAAAAAAAUUUUGGAAAGAUGAACUUCGCUUGGGGCUUGGGUGGGCCACAGGUACACCUGAAGCUGGAGUUCCCGGGCUGCCCCUUAACCGCCAGGCCACCGAGAGCAAGUCCCAUCACCUGUCGGACCCCGUUUUCUCAUCCGUAAAAUGGGAAUUAUAAAAACACGCCUAAGUGCGCUAAGGGAUGUCAAGCGUUCUGCACUUUGUCCAUGUUGGUUUUGUGCCUUUUCCCCCCUCGUCUCGUGUUUCCUGGCCAAGCAUUG
Molecule: long non-coding RNA, 1412 nt
Organism: Felis catus (domestic cat)
Lineage: Eukaryota; Metazoa; Chordata; Mammalia; Carnivora; Felidae
Exons: 3
Source: RefSeq, a predicted model, not a curated record